UUUAAUGAUAUAUUUUCUGUUAAGAUUACGAUUUUUACUGGGUUUAGAAAACAAAUUCUAAUUAUUUUUAGAAUACAGAAAGAAAAAAACACCAAAAAAA
Molecule: small RNA, 100 nt
Filed under: Arabidopsis thaliana (thale cress)
Lineage: Eukaryota; Viridiplantae; Streptophyta; Magnoliopsida; Brassicales; Brassicaceae
Description: ATSL026470
Source: RNAcentral